AAAGCGAAGUAGGGAAAUGUGUUCCUAGAAAACCCAAUAAGUUAUGUUGUGUGCGACUCGUACCGUAAACCGACACAGGUGGUCGAGGAGAGUAUCCUCAGGCGCUCGAGUGAGUCAUGGCUAAGGAACUCGGCAAAUUGGUCCUGUAACUUCGGGAUAAAGGACGCCCCCCUCAGGGGGGGCCGCAGUGAAAAGGCUCAGGCGACUGUUUAACAAAAACACAUGGCUUUGCUAAAUCGAAAGAUGAUGUAUAAGGCCUGACACCUGCCCGGUGCUGGAAGGUUAAGAGGAGAUGUCAUUCGCAAGAAGGAGCAUUGAAUCGAAGCCCCAGUAAACGGCGGCCGUAACGAUAACGGUCCUAAGGUAGCGAAAUUCCUUGUCGGGUAAGUUCCGACCUGCACGAAUGGUGUAACGAUCUGAGCGCUGUCUCAGCCAUGAGCUCGGUGAAAUUGUAGUUCCGGUGAAGGUGCCGGAUACCCGCUACGGGACGGAAAGACCCCGUGCACCUUUACUAUAGCUUAACAUUGAGUUUGGAUAAAUGAUGUGUAGGAUAGCUGGGAUACUCUGAAGCUUGGGCGCUAGCUCAGGUGGAGUCAACGUUGAAAUACAGCCUUCAUUUAUUCGGGCUCUAACUCCUCGCGGAGAACAGUGUUUGGUGGGUAGUUUGACUGGGGUGGUCGCCUCCAAAAGAGUAUCGGAGGCUUUCAAAGGUGCACUCAACACGCUUGGUAACCGUGUGUAGAGCGCAAUAGCAUAAGUGUGCUUGACUGUGAGGCUUACAAGCCGAGCAGGGUCGAAAGACGGAUAUAGUGAUCCGGUGGUUCCGCAUGGAAGGGCCAUCGCUCAAAGGAUAAAAGGUACGCCGGGGAUAACAGGCUGAUCUCCCCCAAGAGCUCACAUCGACGGGGGGGUUUGGCACCUCGAUGUCGGCUCGUCACAUCCUGGGGCUGGAGAAGGUUCCAAGGGUUCGGCUGUUCGCCGAUUAAAGUGGCACGCGAGCUGGGUUCAGAACGUCGUGAGACAGUUCGGUCCCUAUCUGUAGUGGGCGCUGGAAAUUUGAGAGGACCUGACUCUAGUACGAGAGGACCGAGUCGGACGAACCUCUAGUGUACCAAUUAUGCCGCCAGGUGUACCGUUGGGUAGCUACGUUCGGUUGAGAUAAGCGCUGAAAGCAUAUAAGCGCGAAACUCGCCUCAAGAUGAGAUUUCCUUUAAGGGUCGUAGAAGACUACUACGUUGAUAGGCUGCAGAUGUAAAGACAGUAAUGUCAAAGUCGAGCAGUACUAAUUACCC
This 1292-nucleotide ribosomal RNA is filed under the name metagenome. Its description in RNAcentral is "bacterial LSU rRNA". It matches the Rfam family "Bacterial large subunit ribosomal RNA", at positions 1582 to 2910 of the family's 2925-position model. The record is from RNAcentral.